UACGUAGGGUCCGAGCGUUGUCCGGAAUCAUUGGGCGUAAAGAGCGUGUAGGCGGCUUGGUAGGUCCCGUGUUAAAGCCUGCGGCUCAACCGCAGAAUCGCACGGGAAACCCCCUGGCUAGAGUCCGGAAGAGGAGAGCGGAAUUCCUGGUGUAGCGGUGAAAUGCGCAGAUAUCAGGAAGAACACCCGUGGCGAAGGCGGCUCUCUGGGACGGUACUGACGCUGAGACGCGAAAGCGUGGGGAGCGAACAGG
RNAcentral lists this ribosomal RNA (253 nucleotides) under uncultured bacterium. RNAcentral's name for it is "partial 16S ribosomal RNA". It matches the Rfam family "Bacterial small subunit ribosomal RNA", at positions 524 to 776 of the family's 1533-position model. The record is from RNAcentral.